UAUACACAAUCUUUAAAUUACUCUAAAUAUUGAAAAUAGAUAGUUUUAGAACAAAUAAAUUUUAAAACCUAUAUAGAGUCAGGGUAUACAUAAUAUAAACAGUCCCCUCCCCUACCACUGCCUCUGACCAGAUUUAUUCAAACCACGGAAACUAAUUCCAAAUUUUGUAAUUGAUUGUUCUACCAAAAAUAAUCAACAUUAUUAAUAUAAAUGUUACAUAGAACCUACGUACAGAAUCAGUGUACAUUCCACAGCAUUAGAAUACAUUAUUAAAAGAGAACUUUUUCCCCAUCAGAAAAGCAAUUUACAUUUUUCAGAAGGUAACAAAACACUCAAAAGAAAAAAGUGGAAAAUAAUGGAAAACUCUCAAACUGGAUUGUAGUAUUUUAAAAUGAAAACUGUCAAUACAUAUCCCAGAGUUUAUUAUGCAAUCUUACAUGCUCCUGGCUUUAUCUACUUGUCAGCAAAUAACUUACAAGCCGUUAUAAAAAAUUGUUUACCUUUUUCCCUUCCUCCCCAAUUGUCUUAUAUGUCAUUCUGCAGUUUGGCCUGUAGGUAGCAAUCUUGCACCAUAAAAAGCUCUCCAUUUACUCAUUUAUUUAGGCUGGAAAAGCUUACAGCAUUACAGAUCUAUUAAAUGUAAGCAAUGUUAUUUGCAUAUAUUCCAGACUUUGAUGAUGGUCUGUGGCCUACAAAUUAUUUAUGCAGUUUUUUGGUCUUGAAGUUCAUGAAAUUGUUCAGAGGUGACUUUACUUUCCAUUGUGACCCCAUGUAGGUGGCAAACAGCCAAAUGGUUGGGCGCAUAACCUGGAAUCUUAAAAAUCUUAAGGCCUCAUGCCUGAAAAAUAAUGUUUUGUUUCCCAUACAACCCUUCGGAUAAAAGAGAAAUCCACAAGUCUUCUAAAAUGGAGAAUAAUGCUUUAGUACCUAUGAGCAAAGAUUACAAGAAAGUGCCUCUGAAGUCAGGUACUCUCACAUGCAAUGAAGCAAUUGCUGUUAAGUAAUUGAGAAUCUUUAACAGUUUAGACCUACUUAAUCUUGUUUCUAUUAAGAAUAGUUAAAAGCCAAAAAAAGCAUUAUUAUUGAUUUGUUAUUUUUAAAUACUACAAAGUACCAUCGCAUAUAUAUUCUUUAAAUGGCAAAGAUCAUUUUCUUUUUUUUGUUCUCAGCUGUUUUACUGGAAUCAUUGAUAACAGUGUACUAAUUCACAGUUGCAGAGCAUGUGUUUCAUACCAAAAUUUACUUUUAUUUCUAAUCCGUGGGUUGAAAAUAAUAUAUUAUGUUUUUAAACUCAAAAUGUUGAAAAAUAUUUAAAAGUAUAGCUUUUGAUUUAUUUUAGAAGGGUAAUUCUCUUUUUUGUUAACAGGGCUACAUGUCCAGUUUUGAUCUACUUUCAUUCCUUCAUUCUUUCCUUGCAUUGGCUGCACCUACUAAGUGUCCAGGCCCUAUUUUAGAUUAGAUAUCCAAGUUGGUUAGGACCUGACUGUGAAAACAUAUUUUAUUAAAGUAACAGCUUGUUGAGGAGCAGAAUGGAUUUUAAUUACACUGAAAUCUCAUCAGUGUAUUUUACUUUUAAGUUAAUAUUUCAUACUUGUGAAUGUCUAAUUCCAUGCUGUUUUUGUGGUGUUCAAAAAAAAUUAUAAACUCUUAUCCUCAUAUAUAUUCCUUUGCUACCAAGGAACUCAUUGGAUUUUAGAAAACGAAGCUUGGUUCAUUUGAGGGAUCCUUAGAACAAAUUGUUUCUGAAUGAUUGUGUUUCUUAAUAUGGAAUAUCAGAUUUAAAUGGAAAAGAAACUAGCCUUUCAUCAUCACCACUAUGCCAACAUAUUUUAAACUGUCAGCAUUUUAAGUGUCCGCUGUUAACCAAAUUGGCAAUACAUCUUAUUUGGCAAAAAUUGCCCCAUAGUACUAGAAAUUAUAUAUCAUUAGUUAUCACCUUUGUUGAUAAAACUUCAACUACUUAUUUUUGUAAAGUCUGAAAUUAAUCCAAUCAUAAGAAACUUAUGGCUGUGAUGGCAUUUUGGACCUGUCAUGCCCACUUUUUCUAAUACUUGCAAAGGUUACAGAGUGCAGUUUCAGGAACAAGAAGAGCUUAUUGUUUGUGAGGAGUAGCCUUUGAUUCCAUGGAUCAGUGGUUAUUAGAGCUGCAGCUGGUUCACAACAAAUAUUCACAUCUUAAGUGAUCAGAUAGAGAAGUCAUUUUCUCACAGAGUAACCCCUCAGAUCUAGGGGCGGGGGAAAGGCGGGAGGAACGCUCAGAAAGAAAUAACUUAAGUGAUGAAGGAGUUUCGAACCUACUGGUGAAACUGGGAUGAGAAAACUAACUUUAAUGUGGUAGGGAGGCUUUUUCAUUUCUUAGUGUUACACAUUUGAUUUUGAAUCCUUUAUUCUUCUAAGACUUUCUGGAUGUAAGAUUCAAUGACAUAGUCCUUUAUUAAGUGUAGUUGAUUUACAUAUUGAUUUUAAUCAGAUUCGGGCAUAAUUUUAAAUCAUUAUUUUUUAGUGCGCUCUUUUCAACUCUGAAAAUGUCCUUUCUGUUAGCUAAAAAUGUAGAUCCUCUGACCCGCCUUCUCUCCACUUGCUCACUACCCCUCCCAAAUCAAGGCUUAAGCUAGGAUACCAAACUGGUGAAGGACCUUCAAUUUCAAGGGAUCAGUUCUUAUCUGAGCUAAAUGAAGCUGAAGUUGCAGAUGAAAAUAGAAGAGUGGAAAAACAGGUGCUUAAGCAGAGAUCCCUUCUUGUGUGUGGGAGAGGUUGCAGAACAAAGAAACCAACUUUCUCUGUCGAACCUCAGAGAUCCUAUUUCCAAGGAAAUAAAAUGGAUACAUCUCAGAACUAAGAAAAACAUAAGGAAUUUUGAUCUUUCAUUUCUUCAUUUUCUCAGGAGAUGUGAAAAUACAUCUGGAACAGAAACAGAAGUAUAGAAAAAGGCUUAGACUCGUCACCACAUUGGAAAAAACAAUUUUGUUUCUCGUUUAAUAACUAAAGAAUAAAGGGUUCCAUUCUUGAGGCAUGAUUACUAUUACAUUUAUAAAUAAAAUCAGCAGCCAAC
Pteropus alecto (black flying fox) is the source of this 3052-nucleotide long non-coding RNA. RefSeq lists it as uncharacterized. The record is from RefSeq and is a predicted model, not a curated record. The transcript is spliced from 2 exons. Lineage: Eukaryota; Metazoa; Chordata; Mammalia; Chiroptera; Pteropodidae.